GUAAACGGCGGCCGUAACUAUAACGGUCCUAAGGUAGCGAAAUUCCUUGUCGGGUAAGUUCCGACCUGCACGAAUGGCGUAACGAUUUCCGCGCUGUCUCAACCAGUGGCUCAGCGAAAUUGAAUUCUCGGUGAAGAUGCCGAGUACCCGCGGUAAGACGGAAAGACCCCGUGAACCUUUACUAUAGCUUGACAGUGACAUUCGGAAUAGCUUGUGUAGGAUAGGUGGGAGACUUUGAAGCCGGCACGCUAGUGUCGGUGGAGUCGUCCUUGAAAUACCACCCUGGUUGUUUUGGAUGUCUAACCUGGGCCCGUAAUCCGGGUCGGGGACACUGUCUGGUGGGUAGUUUGACUGGGGCGGUCGCCUCCCAAAGAGUAACGGAGGCGCGCGAAGGUUCCCUCAGGUUGAUUGGAAACCAACCGUAGAGUGCAAUGGCAUAAGGGAGCUUGACUGCGAGACCAACAAGUCGAGCAGGUACGAAAGUAGGUCAUAGUGAUCCGGCGGUUCUGUAUGGAAGGGCCGUCGCUCAACGGAUAAAAGGUACUCCGGGGAUAACAGGCUGAUCUCCCCCAAGAGUUCACAUCGACGGGGAGGUUUGGCACCUCGAUGUCGGCUCAUCGCAUCCUGGGGCUGAAGUAGGUCCCAAGGGUUUGGCUGUUCGCCAAUUAAAGCGGUACGCGAGCUGGGUUUAAAACGUCGUGAGACAGUUUGGUCCCUAUCUACCGUGGGCGCAGGAUACUUGAGAAGAGCUGUCCUUAGUACGAGAGGACCGGGAUGGACGUACCGCUGGUGUUCCAGUUGUUCCGCCAGGAGCAGUCGCUGGGUAGCUACGUACGGAAAGGAUAACCGCUGAAAGCAUCUAAGCGGGAAGCCUCCUUCAAGAUUAGGUAUCCCUGGGUGUAACAACCCCUAAAGGCCCGUUGGAGACUACAACGUUGAUAGGCCGGGUGUGUAAGUACAGUAAUGUACUCAGCUUACCGGUACUAAUCGGCCGUGAGGCUUGACCAU
RNAcentral lists this ribosomal RNA (1008 nucleotides) under bioreactor metagenome. Its description in RNAcentral is "bacterial LSU rRNA". It matches the Rfam family "Bacterial large subunit ribosomal RNA", at positions 1923 to 2925 of the family's 2925-position model. The record is from RNAcentral.